This 2776-nucleotide small RNA is filed under the name Pongo abelii (Sumatran orangutan). RNAcentral describes it as "retained intron". Lineage: Eukaryota; Metazoa; Chordata; Mammalia; Primates; Hominidae. The record is from RNAcentral.
UCAUUAGAAGUAAGUCACCAGACCAGUCCACACUCAAGGGGAGGGGAUUCUUAAGGGCAUGAGUAUCAGGAAGUAAGAAUCACUGGGACCAUCUUAGAGGCUGUCUACCAGACUCAGUUUACAGCUUUCCCAGGUAUCAUCCCCUUAAAGAUCUCAACUAAUUUCUCAUCACCUUCCCUCCUAAAGACACAAAAAAUCCAAGUUCACUGAUCCUGGAAUGGGGAACCUCACCUACAGCAACCCCUCCUACCGAACAUCCACACAGGAAGUGAAGAUUGAAGCAAUCCCCAAACCAGCCAUGUACAACCAGCUGUGCUAUAAGAAAGAGGGAGGGCCUGACCAUAACUACACCAAGGAGAAGAUCAAGAUCGUAGAGGGAAUCUGCCUCCUGUCUGGGAAUGACGCUGAAUGGGAUGACCUCAAGCAACUGCGAAGCUCACGUGGGGGCCUCCUCCGGGAUCAUGUAUGCAUGAAGACAGACACAGUGUCCAUCCAGGCCAGCUCUGGCUCCCUGGAUGACACAGAGACGGAGCAGCUGUUACAGGAAGAGCAGUCAGAGUGUAGCAGUGUCCAUACUGCAGCCACUCCAGAAAGACGAGGCUCUCUGCCAGACACGGGCUGGAAACAUGAACGCAAGCUCUCCUCAGAGAGCCAGGUCUAAAUGCCCACGUUCUCUUCCCUGCCUGCCUGUUCCUUCUCCUUUAUGGACGUCUAGUCCUUGUGCUCGCUUACACCGCAGGCCCCCCUUCUGUGUGCUCGUCCUCCUCCUCCUCCCACCCCAUAACUGUUCCUAAGCCCUCAUCGGAGCUGUUUACUACGUGAGUCCAUAACUACCUGUGCACAAGAAAUGAUGGCACAUCACAAGAAUUUAGACCUGGAUUUUACCAUGAACCUCACAUCUUGUACUCCGUCCUGGGCCCCCUGAAACUGCUUAUUCAUGAUUCCUCGCCAGCAUAGAGGUCCACCUCCCCUUCCCCCAGUACCCUCAGUGCCUGCUUCUCAGUGCUGAUGCAGCUGAUGACCCAGGACUGUGCUCUGCCCCAUCACAGCCAGCAUGACUGCUUCUCUGAGAGAACUUGCCCAUCAGGGGCUGGGACAAGGGGGUGUGGGUAAAGACAGGGAUGAAGGAUAGAGGCUGAGAGAAGAAGGAAGAGUCAGCCCAGCAGGUAUGGGCAUCUGGGAAACCUCCAGCCUCAAGUGUGUUGGUAACAUGAAAAAGCUUUUGGGGGUAGUUGGAUCUGGGUGUCUGGUCCAUUGCUGGCAGUGGACAUUAUUCUUGCCCUAAGAGUCACUGCCUUUUCAGCAGUAGAUACUGGUGAGAUGGGGGUGGCUCAGGCUGUUCUUCCUCCUGCUAGAAUGUCUGGAGCUGUUUCUAUAUUCAGAUAACUGGGGUCCCUAUCACGAGGCUACUGGCUAACAGGAAUUCCCUCCUGGUGCCACCACUGGCCAGUACCUUUCCUAAGUCUUUGCUCAAAGUAACCAGGUUUUGAGCCAGUGGCUUGAGUGAAUGUUAGGCCUUGGGGGCUGAGUCUCUGAAAAGUCUAAGAAGCUCUGCCUAGACCAAAUAUGGUAUACCACCUGAACCCUCUCUCCCUCAUGCCCUGGGAUUCUGGGGAAGAGACCUAGAAACAAGCUUUCAAAGAAAAACCAGAAGUUGUCAUAAAUGGUCAGAAAGAACGAUCAGGUUGGAGACUUGGGAAACCCAGGGCCUAAACAGAAGUAUCCAUGAGGGUCAAACUUCCUGUCGAACUUCCUGUGUUCUUUCUCAAGUGCUCAGGGAUCUAAGUUAGUGGACAGCGAGCCUGUGGCUAUGGGGUGAUGACGUUCCUCUUACAGCUGUCUCCUCAGCUAAGGGGCUUAGUUUCCGUGUGGGAUGGCAUCACCUGGUUCAUGCUCAUUCACACAAAGGGCACGUGUCUCAGCCUAGUAUCAGGGAAAUUGAGACUUAUUUUUGCCCUAAAACAUCUCCCUAGCUGUUCUUCGUGGGGUUGUUUUGUUUGUUUUUUUGCCUAAUUUGCUUUUUCUGACCAAGCCUUGUGGCACCAGCAAUCUCCAAAGUCCUGUGGUGGGAGGGCCGAAUAAAUAAAGAUGCAAAGAGGUGGGCAAGGAGUAGGAAGGUAGAGAGCACCACUGAUGAGGCCCUCCUAGCCCAUGGCAGACCCAGACCUCUUCUCCCCCAGGAAUUAGAAGUGGCAGGAGAGAAUAACAGGGGCUGGGAAUGGAGGGGAGAAUUUCUAGGGGAAGUUUCCUGAGUUGAAACUUCUCCUGUGGUUGCUGGUAUUGAGAAAUCAGCUACCAAACAUGGGUGAAAAAGGACAAGAUCAAUUCUUUUCUAGUUAGUUCUAAGACUGCUAGAGAGAGAUACCAGGCCCUUAGCCUUGCUCUCAGUAGCGUCAGCCCCAGUUCUCAGCCUCCCCACAUUACACUUGACAAGCAGUAGAGGGAGCACUUUGGGUACUUAGACUCAUGUCUGGGGAGGAAGAACAAGUAGAAAAGUGGCAUUUUCUUGAUUGGAAAGGGGGAAGGAUCUUAUUGCACUUGGGCUGUUCAGAAUGUAGAAAGGACAUAUUUGAGGAAGUAUCUAUUUGAGCACUGAUUUACUCUGUAAAAAGCAAAAUCUCUCUGUCCUAAACUAAUGGAAGCAAUUCUCCCAUGCUCAUGUGUAAUGGUUUUAACGUUACUCACUGGAGAGAUUGGACUUUCUGGAGUUAUUUAACCACUAUGUUCAGUAUUUUAGGACUUUAUGAUAAUUUAAUAUAAAUUUAGCUUUUCUUAA